UCAGCAAUGAGGUCUUAGUGGCGAACGGGUGAGUAACGCGUUGGUGACCUGCCCCGAAGAGAGGGAUAACAGACCGAAAGGUUUGCUAAUACCGCAUAAGCUCGAGCUAGUCAGAGAGGCUUGAGGAAAGGCCGAAAGGCGCUUUGGGAGGGGCCUGCGUCCCAUCAGCUAGUUGGCGAGGUGAGAGCUCACCAAGGCGAUGACGGGUAGGGGACCUGAGAGGGUGACCCCCCACAAUGGAACUGAAACACGGUCCAUACACCUACGGGUGGCAGCAGUAGGGAAUAUUGGUUAAUGGGCGAAAGCCUGACCCAGCAACGCCGCGUGCGCGAUGAAGGCCUUCGGGUUGUAAAGCGCUUUUGAGUGGGAUGAGGAAGGACAGUACCACUCGAAUAAGUCUCGGCUAACUACGUGCCAGCAGCCGCGGUAACACGUAGGAGACGAGCGUUAUCCGGAUUUACUGGGUGUAAAGCGCGUGCAGGCGGUAUGGAAAGUUGGAUGUGAAAGCUCCCGGCUUAACUGGGAGAGGUCGUUCAAAACUACCAGACUAGAGUACAGCAGAGGGGAGUGGAAUUCCGAGUGUAGCGGUAAAAUGCAUAGAUAUUCGGAAGAACACCAGUGGCGAAGGCGGCUCCCUGGGCUGAAACUGACGCUCAGACGCGAAAGCUAGGGUAGCGAACGGGAUUAGAGACCCCGGUAGUCCUAGCCGUAAACGAUGUGGACUUGGCGUAGGCGGGUUGAAAUCCAUCCGUGCCGAAGCAAACGCGAUAAGUCCACCACCUGGGGACUACGGCCGCAAGGCUAAAACUC
This 810-nucleotide ribosomal RNA is filed under the name uncultured bacterium. Its description in RNAcentral is "bacterial SSU rRNA". It matches the Rfam family "Bacterial small subunit ribosomal RNA", at positions 76 to 902 of the family's 1533-position model. The record is from RNAcentral.